CAAAAAAAAAACUUCUUCUCACCACCAAAUUAAAACACACAAGCAAGACCUAACAAAGUCUGCUAGUGAAAUAUUGGUGGAAACCUAAAACGAGUGUAUGUUUGUGUUUGUGUUUGUGUUUGAGUAAAAGCAGUAUGAACUAAAAUAAAUAAUAUUUGUGUGACACCACCGCCCAAAACAUAAGCGGGGGUUUGUAAUGGAAUUUAUGCUUGUGUUUCCAAAAAAAAAAAAGAAAAUGUAUAUGUUUUUAUUUUAUUAUAUUUUUAUAUUUAUAGUAGAAAGGCGGUUUAUAUAUACGUGUCAUGUGUUAGAGUAUGUGACAGAGUGAGGUGGCGCGGAUUAUAAGGGAAUAUUGUCAGUGUCACAUACUCUAAUAGAGUUACAAGUGGGUAAUGCUGAAGGUUACUUCGUACUGAAGAAUAUUAUUAAAUCCUUGUAAGCUCAAAUUCACGUGAGACUUUUUACAUGUAAGUGACACAUUUAUAAUACCUUCCGUAUUAAUUUAUAUGAGUUAGUUUGAUUUGAUACGGAAUUAAGAAGAAAAAAUUAAAAAAAAAAUUGUGAUCUAAAAUAAAUCAUGAGUAUUUGUGUCAUUAAAAAUAAUUUUAUUAACAAUAAAAUAAAUAUUUUAAAUUUAAAUUAUUAUUAAAUAUAAAAAUAUAUUGUUUUUAAAAAAUAAACUUAAAAAGAAAAUAAGUUAUAUAAUUAUAAUAUAAAGUGAGACUGACAUUGAGGAGAUUGUCUGUUUGCCCAAUUGCCUGUUGGCAGGGGCGUAGGCACAUGCGGGUGUCCGAUUGGACAUCCUUCGUCGAAAAAAAAUAUCAUAUAUAUAAGUAAAUUGAUACACGAAGUGAUUAAAUAAUAGAUGUUGGACACUCUUGACACAAUAGGUUGUUGUACCUGUGGUUUUAGAUCUUUUUAAUGAAUUUCAAACACCUUGAAUGAGUUAGUAAUCACGUAUUCGAAUCUAAAAUUUCUGACUCCAUCACUGUCUGUUGGUACUCCGCUGAGCCAACUUGUCAACAUUAUAUACUGAUGAAGCGCCCACGCGUAUACGCCCUGCGACCGAGACUAUUUGGAGCGGGCAGUCCAUAGUAUAAUUUAUUGUCUAUGGAGAAAAUCAUUUAAGAGUCAUUUGGGGGUGGGAUUGAAAUACUCGGAGCAUGAUGCAGAAGCUAAUAAUUGUAAAUAAUAUUGAUGAAACAAUAGAUGGCAAAGAAAAUUAUACUCUCUUUGUUUUCGUUUAUGUUGCAUAGUUUAGAUUAUAAAAAGUUAAACAAUUUAAGUUUGAUCGUAAAUUUGGACAUGAAAUUUUAAUUUUUUUUGAAAUAAAAUGUAUAUAUUUAAAAACUAUGUAAAAAAAAGUAUGCUAUAUAUAAGUCACUAUAAUUAACAAUUGAAAAGUAUUUAAAAGAACUACAGUCAAAGAUAAACGUGUUUGAAACUCUAAAUCCGUAAGGUGCCUCAUAAAUUGGGAUGAAGGGAGUAUUAUUAGAUAUGUUGACCUAUAUAUGAAAAAUUAAUAUAAAAAUAAGAAAAAAAGGAAGAACCCUAACAAUGGUGGUGGAUGUUGUUGGAGAAAAUAAUAGUACUUGAUAGUGUUUUCAACUUAUGGGAACGUAUUGGACCAUGACACGUGAUAAAAUCAAGACCGAUAAAAUGCUUGAUACAACCCCGAAAAAUUGGAAGGGACCGUUUCCAGACAUGAGUUGCCUCAAUAUUUACUUGCCUCAAGCCUUGUGUGUCAAUCUGCUCCCAAUCAAUUCAAAAAUAAAGUGUCAAGAUGUAGACUCGUACUAUUAGAUAGUGUUUUCAGUGCUACACGUGUAAUCGUUUUGCAUUGAAGUGACGAUUGGACGUUUUUCACCUAUAAAAGAAACCUCUUAGAAAAAUAGAAGGAUAAAAAUAUCUCAAAAUAUCCACUUAAUUUCCUUAAUAAUCUCUAAAAGAUUGCCAACCUAUUUUUUAUUAUUUUUUUGUAAUUUUAUUCAUUUUUUUAUUUACGUGGCCUCCAAACAUUUUCCACACACCUCUACUAAGUGGAGUCACGUAAAUAAAAAAGUGUAUAAAAUUUUAAAAAAAUGAAUUCAGGAAUAAUAGAAUCUUAAUUUAAUUAAGAUGUAUUUUUAGAAUUUUAAUCAUAAUUAGGAGGUACUUGUACCUUAUCCCUGUGAAACUUAGUAUGUAAGAAAUACUUGAGAGAAGAGAUUCCUACGUACACUAUAACUUCAUGUAAUGACAACGCCAUCGACAUAUACAAUAAGGAGAACAUUCAAGUUGCAAAUUGCGUGUAAAAGAUUUGAAAUGAUCACAUUUGCUUUUUUCAAACUACCUUGCUAAUUUUUUUCAAACCAAGCUUGAGGAUAACGUUUCAAGUCAUACACAAACUUCUUUAAACUAUAGACUUUUCAAUACUUUUCUUGAGCAACAAAACUAGAUGAUUGCUCCAUAUAAAACUUUUCGUGGUAAAAAUACAAAAAUUUAUAAAAAAAAAAUACCUCCUUCAAAAUAUAUUCAAAAAUACGGUAAAAUACAUCCCGAAUCUAAAAAUGUUUUCGAUGUCAAAAAAUUCCUCCUUCCUCCGAAUACAAAAAUACGGAUAAAAUACAAAAAUAUAUCUCAAUUUGAAAAAGGUUUCCAACGCCUCACCAUUGACCGCUGUUAUCAGUGUUUUAAAAGGCAAGGCGUAAGACGGGGCGUUUUACUUAGCAUAGGGCGAGAAAUAAGCCUUACAGUCUUUAAAUUUUUAAUUUACAAUAUAGUACAAUAAUAUAAUAACACAAAAUUAUAAAAAUACAUCAUAGUUUGAAAUAAUUACAAACAUGAUUAAGGAAACUCGUAGAAAAUAAAACUUCUAACAUGAUUAGAUAAGUAUAAAUAAUUUAAUAUCUUAACUUUCUAAUAAUAAAAGAAUCAUUAUUUCUAAAAAUAUAUUUUUAUCAUACUAUACAAUUUACCCCCCUAAAAGAAAAUAAUCAAUAAAACUUACUAGUAUUAUAAUAAAAACAUCACUCCAUCAUGAAUAAGAAUAAAAUUAUUUUCAAAUAGGUAAAUAAAAUAGGCGAAAUGGUCUGAUAGAUCUUUAUACUUGUAUGAGUUUGUAUUCUGGACCCUUCUACUUAACAUUUUGUCAACUAAACUCUUAAACUCAACGAAACUCAACAUAUUAAACCAUUUUGACCAUUGACCAAGCUUAUGUGACAACUUAAUUGUUGUCUGGAAUAAUUAUGUGAUUUCACGCAAAAAGGGAGCGUGAAUAGAACAAUCCCCCGUCCAAUCCCCCAUUUCUCUCUCUUUCUCCCCUUUCCCAUCUUCAAUUUCUUCUUCUUCUUUUUAAAUAUUUUUAUCCCUCGAUUAAUUUUAAACAAGCUAGCAAAUUUUGAAGUGGACCGCAACAAAUCUGAAAAACAAGAUAGUAAAUCUCAAAUGAGAAAUAAAAAGCUAAGGAUGAAGAGUGGGGGAGUAAUCCUUACAGUGAUAAUUGAUAAAGCUCAAAUCCACCAUGAAUGCACAAAGAAGGAGAUGGAAAAGCUCAAAUUCCAAACUCUUUUUUUUCUACACCUCAAAUAUUUUUUUAUUUCUUUUUUGCUUUAGUUUCUAUUUUGGUGUCCUUUGUUUAGUUUUUUCCCCCCUCUGUUAUCUACGGAUUUGAACAUGUCCAUAUGUUUUGUGAACAUCCUUUUAACCAAGAGGAAUAUUACAUAGAGGGAUAUUGAUUUCUUCACUCCAUGCAUGAGAAUUGUGUUAAAGAAUAUCACCAUUGAUUUCUACAUAGAAGGCUUAGCAAGACAUUAAUUUUUAACUUGAAGGGAUAUUGAUUUCUUCACCCCUCUACCAUCUUUCUUCCCCCGCCCAAUCCCCCAUUUCUCUCUCUUUCUCCCCUUCCCACUCUCUCCAGUUUCUUUUUUUUUUUUUUCACUUUCUCUUCCUCCCCAUAUUAGAAACGAAAUGUGCUACAAUUUGUGAGGUAAUAAAUAUGAUAAUUUUGAUAGGUAAGAAAUAAUUAUUAAAUGUCCUUGUGAAAUCAAAUAGAAUGUGUUGUGUAAAAUUGUGUACAAAUAUUAAGAUAUAUUGAGGUAAUUUAAUGGUGGUUUAUUUAUAUUAAUGAUAAAAAAGAGGUUUAUGGUGUUUCAAGGGAUGGACAAAGUUAUAAAAAAGUAUGACUGAUGGUGAUUUUUAUGAUUUAGGAAAGUGGUGAUAAUGGUGAAGAUGGAAGUUGUGGUGAUGAGAUCUUUAAAAUGGAGAGAAAUGGUUAAGGAAGAAUGAGGGAAGAAUGAAGUGAAAAUAGAAAAAAAAUGAUUUUUUAAAAAAGUAAAUAAUUAAUGAUGUGUCAUUUAAAAUCUGACGUGGAUAACGACGUGUCAUUUUUUAUGAGCGUUUGAAGUUCACACAAUGCCAAGGGGGUUUUAAAUGGUGAGUUUCGUUGAGUUUAAGGGCUCCGUUGACAAAUAGUUAACUAAAAUGUUCCAUAAUACAAACUCAAACAAAUACAAGGGUCCACUAGACCAUUCCGCCAAAUAAAAUAUGAUAAUUUUGAGACAUGACAAAAACAUGAAAACCAAUGAUAAGUGAAAAAGUAAAUUUCGCUAUGUAUUUUUAAAAGAAAUGUUACGUAAUGUAUAAUCAUCCUCACAUUGUUACCAAAUAGUAAAUAUGUGAUACUACGACUUGUUAUUUGAGUUACUCUCAAUCUUCUUAUCUCUAUAGAUUAAAAAACUAUAUUAAGUAUCAUUCGUUUAUUCAAGAUUUAUGAGGGUCAACAAUGUUAACUAAAGAAUUUAACACAUAAUUUGUGUAAGAUCUGUUAGACGGACCACGAGUGUUGGACGUUGUGUCUGCUUAAGGAGUAUAGUUAGGCGCUUAAAGUGUAAGUCUUACAGAACUAAGUCCCUCACUUGAGUCUCGAGGCAUUCUGCUAGAGCCUCGUCCCAAAACGAGUCCCAACAGAAUCUUUUAAAACACUUGCCGCUAUAAUUUCACCUUUCGAUUUUUGGAGGAUCUAUAACUAAAAUCGAUCGUUGAGAAGUUCGACAAUGGAUCUAACCCCCUCAACGACAAUGAUACUCACCAAUAACACAUUGCAACAACAAAGCCACUAGGCAUAAUUAUUAUUUAUCGUCGUCAUAAACAUCAAAAAUAUUUAUAUUUUCUUAGUGAUCAUGUUCGACUCUUAAAAGAAAACAAUUUAGUAAAAGAAAAAAGGAAAAAGGUCGCAACGAAUAAACCUUAUAGAAAGGCCAAAAUAUUUAAAUAGUAAAAUAGUGGCUCCUCCAAAAAGUCAAAUGGUCAUCAUUUUUUAUCGCAUCAUAUUGGAGCACAUGAGACUCGUCAGGAAUAUACAUGUGUAACAUCGAAACAUGAAAAACUGGCUUAAUAAUUGAGAAUGUUGGAGGUAGAUCCAACUCAUAAGCAACCUCGCCAACUGUUCGCGCGGAGGACUAAGCCAAGAUGUACUUGAGAUAAAUGGUAAAGUUGCAUGGAGUACCUUUGUUCAUUAUUUUCGAUCGUGGUACCCAAUUUACUUCUCAGUUUUAGAAGUCAUUCCAAAAAGGUCUUCACACGAAAGUUAAGCUUAGCACGACCUUUCACUCCCAAACCACUGAUGGGCAAGCGGAGUGUACUAUCCAAACUUUGAAAGAUAUGUUAAGGGCUUGUGCGAUUGAUUUUAAGGGUAAUUGGGAUGACCAUUUGCCAUUGAUAGAGUUGCCUAUAAUAAUAGCUAUCACUCGAGUAUUGGUAUGGCUCAAUUUGAGGCUCUUUAUGGUAGGAGGUGUAGAUCGCCCAUAGGUUGGUUUGAGGUGGGUGAAGUUGCUUUGAUAGGUCUCGAGUUAGUUCAUGAGGCUAUUGAGAAGGUUCGACUUAUUAGAGAGAGGUUGAAAAACGUUCAAAGUCGACAAAAGUCAUAUGCCGAUGUUAGAAGAAGUGAUCUUCAAUUUGAGGUUCAUGAUUGGAUUUACUUGAAAAUUUCACCUAUGAAGGGUGUAAUGAGGUUUGGUAAGAAAGGGAAGAUAUGUAACUAGAUCGUCAAACUCUUUCCCGCUAUACCCAGCCGAUUCUCAAGGACAAAAGGUAUAUCAUUACAUUUAAAUAGACAGAGGAUCUUAACACCCAAUAUAUGGUCUCCUUUACCCAUAUCUUUCAUGUCAAAUGAUUUGAUAGUUUCACGAGUGUAUAUUUAAUAAAUAUUUCAAAAUUUUGUUAUUAAUGGUUUUUUAUACUACUUCCUCCAUUUCAUAUUAAUAGAAUAUUUGAGGUUUUUCACACCUUUUAAGAAAAGUAGAGUAAGACAUGAAUUGAAUAUAGUUUUCUAUUUUUACCCUUAUUAAUUACUUCCUCCGUCCCAUAUUAUAUGUCACCCCUUUCUAAAAAUAGCUGGACCACAAUAUAUGUCAUUUUAUAAAAUUUAUGCAUAAAUUACCAUUUUUUGCCCAUUAUACCCUUGAUAGAUUAAUUAAUUAAUCUUGAAAAUGUAUUUACUUUGACUAACCUAGGAAAUCUACAAGUAAUUAAUUUCAUUGGGAGAGUACUUCAUUCAUUAAUUAACUACUUUCUUUAUUCACUACUUAUUCUAUAAAAUCUGAUUUUGAAAAAAAAUAUCAACAAACAAAUUAAAAAUAAAAGAUGAAAAAAAAUUCAAAAAUAAUCUUGAAAGUUGAAGCUUCAACAAAUUUUAUCAAGGAAGAUGACAUUUCAAAAAGUUCAAAGGAAAAUUUAGAUCAAUUUGAAGUAAUGGAAUUUGAAUAUUUUGUGAUGUUGUCAUGUUUGCUUUAAGAAUUUAUAUAUAAAAAUAUAAAAAAACAUUUUACACAAAAUAUAUAGGAAAAUUGAGGUGGGAAAAACUUGAUUUUAAAAUUUUUUUGGAUUAAUUGGUGAAAAAAUUUGACUCCAAAAAUAAACUCUAAAAUUUAAAUAGUCAUCCAAAUGCAUUUAUAUUUUUGAAAUCUAACAUUUUAUCAUAUAUUACAAAGUUGUCAUAAACAAACAUUAAAUAAGGGCAUAAGGGUAAAAUUACUUUAUUUCUUAAUGCAAGUGCAAAUGGAAAAUGUGACAUAUAAUAUGGGACGGAGGGAGUAUUGUCAAAUUUAUUGAAGUAUUACAUUGAAAAUCCAAAUAAAGGGUAAAAUUGAAAGAAUACUCUAAAAAUAAUUUUAAAAAUUGAACAAUUAAGUUAAUUUGAAAAAUGAAAAUGCCUCAAAAAUUCAAUUUAAUAUGAAAUGGAUGGAGUAUAUAAUAAUAAGUUAAUUACAUGUAAAAAUUUCUUAAUGUAAUGCCUAUUGGCAUACUAUAUUACUAAUUCGAAUAAUUUCGAGCUGAAAAUUUAGGUAGCCAAUCAGAAAUUUCCAAACUUGUACUAUGUCUGCUUCACCCGAUUAGCGUAUAUCGAUGAUGGUCGAUGAGUGACUUACCAGAACAGUGGCAUUACUGCUGGAGUAUUUAACAGCUAGGGGAAAAAAUGCAGGCUCUUGUGUCCUCACCAAAUAGCUGUUACAUCAAUUACACAGGAAGACGAAGAUUUAUACACAAUUAUCAAUAUCACACCUCCAAGAAUUACCCCUUUUCUUCAUCUUCUUCUUCAUCACCCACUAGAUCACUUCAUUUCUCAAGCACCCAUUUUCCUUUUCAAUCACAAAAUCUUAUUCUGUAUCAAAAACCCAUUUCAUUAAUACCCAGAGGACAGCUUCUGUGUUCAAAUUCGUCAACUGCCAUUACUACUGAUGGUGAUGACAACAAGAAUAAAAGCUUUGGGGAUUGGAUCCAAAGCGUUGGGGAAACGAUUUCUGUUUUGUUUCCUUUGUGGGUAGCUUUGGGUUGCUUGAUUGGGCUGCUUAAACCUAGCUCAUACAAUUGGGUCAAACCUGAAUGGACUGUGAUGGGUAUUACACUAACGAUGCUUGGCAUGGGAAUGACUCUUACUUUUGAUGAUCUUCGUGGUGCUUUAGCGAUGCCUAAAGAGUUGUUCUGCGGUUUCGUCCUUCAGUACUCGGUAUCUUCUCUCAUUGUUCAAACAGUAAAUUUUUUGUCCUUAGCAUAGUGAUUUCUUAGGGCCAUUAAAUGUGAAUUGAGACGAUUCUCAAUGAGAAUCAAGAAGUGACAAUGGGUAAGGUAAGGAGGUAUAGAUACCACAUAAUCCCCACUGAAAGAUCUAAUUUUGCUAUGAAUACGGCUUAAAUUGAACAGUGGAUGAUUCAUUUCCAGUGUAUUGUUUUGAUGCAUUUCAUACUCUAUAACUUGUAAGGCAGUAUAUUACCAAAUACCAAAUGCAAAUCUGAUAUGAAUCAUUGCCACCAAGAGCAUUUCGUUAUGUGAAGACUUAUUUAGGUUGAGAUCAAGGGUGGAACUAGAAGCCUGGGUACGGGUUCGUCCGAGCCCAGGUACUUUUGAUCAAAUAGUGUAUUUGUAUUAGCAAGCUUAUUAAAUAUGUACAAAUAUUAAGUUUAGAACCCAAUUAUUAACACUUGAAAUCAUCGUUAUGGACUCACUUGAGAUGUAUGAUAGAGGCUCCGUAGAUACCACUCCUUUAGGAUGCAAAAUGAUACUGCCUUGAUUUUAUGUUACUAAAUCUGGGGACUAUUUUUCUUGUCUAGACUGCAUUUUCUUCCUCUUGAAUUUUAGCUCUUUGAUUGCAAUACAAAUAUGCGUACCAAGGUAAGGGCAAGGUCUGCAUACAUACUACCCUCCCCAUACCUCACUUGUGGGAUUACACUUGCUAUGUUGCUGUUGUUGUUGAUUGCAACACAAAUAUAUGCUCCCCUGGAUCUUGUUUUUUCUUGUUAAACUAAUUGUUUGUUCUAUUUGUUAUCUUCUUUUUUGUACUCAAUGAAUUAUGGACCUGCCCUUUUACUACUCUGUACUUAAAUACCAGACUUGGUUCCCCUAUAGUAUCCGUACCCUUGAUGCACGUCUACUCUAAUUUAGAAGUUCAUUGUUUAUUGAUCUUCUGACUAGAACUGAAGUUUGAUACCAUCCAACUCCUUCCUGCUUCAUGAGCAAGAUGAUGAAAUGAUAUGGAUGAAGUAUGCUGACAACUUGUAAGCCAGUACAUAACCAAAUACCAAAUGCAAAUCUGAUAUGAAUUAUAGCACUUCGCUGCCAAGAGCAUUUCAUUUUCUUCCUCUUGGAUUUUAGCUCUUUGAUUGCGACACAAAUAUAUGCUAUUGCACUUCUUGUGAUGUCUCUUAGAAAAUGUGUUCUUUAUCAAUUGGACUUGUCCAUAUUUCUGGUUACCUUGUCGUCAAUUAGUCAUUUCGUUGUCAAUUAUGAUUACCUGCAUUAGAUUUGAUGUUUAUCCCACAAACCUCUAAGAAGAUAUAUGCCCUGCUCAAAUUCAUUAGCAUAGAUAAGUUAACACACUGUUUUCUGGUGUAGGUGAUGCCUUUAUCAGGAUAUUUUGUUAGUAAGCUAUUAAAUUUGCCAUCCCAUUAUGCAGCAGGCUUGAUAUUGGUUGGCUGCUGUCCUGGCGGUAUGCUCAACUAAACUCCUUUCCAAGCCUUCUACUUAUAGGCAUUCACUAAGCGUUUCAUGCAUUACUCUGCAGGGACGGCAAGUAACAUUGUCACUUACAUUGCACGGUAGGUUGACAUGUUGAAGAUUCUGUUAUAUCAUCAUAUUUAUUAUUAUCCUGUUUUGCUGUUAUUUUCAUUAUUAGACCUACUAGGUGUUGAUACUUCAUUUUAUUGCAGUGGAAAUGUGGCGCUUUCAGUUUUGAUGACUGCUGCAAGUACCCUAUCUGCUGUGGUUGGUAGCUUUUAUUUCAUUAUUUGGUUGAUAAAUAUCUUAGCCAAUAUAAGACAUUUAUAUCCGUGCAUAGUGUGUUGUGUGUUCUAUGCAUCCCAAGAACAAUUGACCGAAAACAGUUUGUUCCUAAAAGAAACUUAGACGAAAUAGUUCUUAUUGAGAAAUGUGUAACCUUUUUACUCUUGAGAUGAAAGCUGCUGGACAACAAAGAAAUGCGUUGUUGACAGAAUAAUCGACAAGCAACUAAAAAAAACUUGGAGAGCUUCUUUUUCAAGUUACUUUGAGUUUGGGAAUUCUCUUGAUUCCAAAAGCAUGUAAGCAUUGGGAGGAGUUGGUCUAUUUUCUCCUAAGAGCAAUGCAAGCACAAUAAGAAUGUCAAAGCAGUCAAUUGUUGUCAUAGUCAAAGACAAAGCUUCAGCGCUAGUUACAAUCAUUUAAAAAAUUUAAUCAACCACUACCAUCAGAGUAGUUGUGCAAACAGGUCCAACUAACUUACCUCUAGACUGCAAUCAAGGUGCGGGGUUAGAAGGCAUAAAACUGAGUAUUGAAUGGUCGUACAAAUGUGUGUAGUCCAGAACAUGAAAGUUUUUCUCUAUACUCGAGAAUAAGAAGAUUUACGGUCUUCAAUUGUUUUCUUGUAAGUAGUUUUCUUAGAUAGUUGAUCCGUGUUGAACUAUAACAGCAAAAUUAUUGGUAGGAAAAUCCGUCUUUGGGACUCAUAAAAAAGACACAAAUGGCUAUCUUUAUAUCUAAAUGUAAUAAACAAAGUAUUAUAUAAUCUUGCCAAUUAAUAGGCCACCAGAGCACUGUUGUCUAAGACUGGCAGGCAGUUCUUUGUUAGUACACUCAUAUUCGUAAGCAAUGUGGAAAAAGUUCCCACACUUCCCUUAAUAUCAUUGCAGAUACUCUCAUCCUAUUUGAUGGUGUGAGAGCUCCCUUAAGUUAAUUGACCUUUCUGGUUACUCCCUUAAGUUGAUUGACCUUUCUGGUUACACAUGCAGGUGAUGACUCCUUUUCUAACAGAGAAACUUGCAGGGCAAUUUGUCGCAGUUGAUGCAGCUGGGCUUUUCAUGUCCACUUUACAGGUCCAUUCCUUCAUCUGGUUGUUGGCUUAUCAAUAUUGUAGUUUGUCAUAAUUAAUUAACUAUAAACCUCGUCAAAAUACAGGUGGUGCUUCUUCCUGUAUUAGCUGGUGCAUUUCUGAAUCAGUAUUUCAAAGGCCUUGUCAAAUUUGUGUCUCCAUUGAUGCCACCUAUUGCUGUAGCAACUGUUGCAGUUCUUUGUGGAAAUGCAAUUGCACAGAGUUCUUCCGCAAUCCUUAUGUCAGGUCAACAGGUUGUCAUAGCUACUGCUCUUCUUCAUGCGUCUGGCUUCUUCUUUGGCUAUGUACUUUCGAGGAUGCUUGGAGUUGAUGUAUCAUCCUCAAGGACAAUAUCUAUUGAAGUCGGCAUGCAGGUAAAUGUAUAUUUGUUCACUUCCGAUCCUCAUUAUAUAACUGAAGAAAAUAUUCAUAAAUGUAUUGCCAAAAUGGCACCUGAAAAACAAUUAGGGGAAAGAUGACACUUAAAUAGUUAGUUAAGCCCCUUGAUAUAUCAUGUCUUUUAGUAAGGCUCUGUGUUGUCAUUAAAUUGUACUUUGUUUGUUGCAGAACUCGGUUCUUGGAGUAGUUCUAGCCACUCAGCACUUUGGUAAUCCACUUACUGCAGUACCAUGUGCAGUUUCUAGUGUUUGCCACUCGAUAUUUGGCAGUGCCUUGGCUGGCAUAUGGAGGCGUUCUAUUCCAGAUAAAGUGCAGGACUAAGUCACUCUGUUGGCAAUCCUAUGAGGGUGUGAAUCUAAGAUUGUAGUUUUUCGCAGUGAUCAUCAAGCUUGGUAGUCACUAGUCAGUGAAUUCGGAGGUCCUUUUCUUUCUUUUUUUUGGAAGUUGAUAGUGAUGUCUGGCGAAUCAGGCAUUAACCUAUCUGUAGUAAAACCAAUUUUACUUUUCUGGUGGUGGCGGUAGUAAAACCUAUCGGGAGUCUACUAAACAUGUUGAUCAUUGGCAGGAAAUUUAUCUGCAUUUGAUCUCCAAUUCCUGUUCAGUAAUGAUCGUGUUGGAUGACUUGUGCUCUCGUAUGUUCGUGUCGAGUGAGCAAGAGUAGUCUUGUGUCACAGUAUUUAGUUAGCUUGCAACACCUUUAUUCUCUCACAUUACAAAUUGAAACAAACUGAGUUUUUACUUAGAAUAGUGAUGUUGAUCAUUUCAACUAGUUUAAAUUUUGAGAAACAAAAUUGUGUUUUUCAAUAGAAUCCAGGAAGUCAAUCCUAGUCAGGGGGGGAUAUAUUGGGUAAAUGAUGAUGUACGUGAACUCAUGGUCGCUCCACAAAACCAAGUAUUAUAUGUACACUAUUUUUUAGAAUUGACAUAAUAUUAUUCAGUGGUACCCACGUUUCAAAAAGGUUGAAUGGUUCAUCACUUGGUUAGAUGUUAAGUUAUUUACCUAGAGAAAUAAGGAUCAAUUCAAUAUCUCAAAUCAAUGCAGAUGUAUGCAUUUAUUUGAGCGGUAAACAAUAUAUUCAGUUGAAUUCACAGAACCUGUCGUAGAUGAGACUCUUGGACUUUCCUACAAAGCAUAUUCCAUAUAGAGCUGUAAAUAGAAGGGACCAUAUGCAAGUCAAUAAAUAUAGAAAUCUUGCUUUAGCAGGAAAGAAUCCCAGGGAACAGCAAAAGUUCAAGAAAGGGUACAAAUUCUGUUAAUAUAUGCCAGAAAUAAUGUUAGCCUCCGUCACGUCUGUUGACUACAAAUUUAACUAUUUUUACCGUCAUAAUUUAUGUGAAUGUAUUUAAUUGAUAGAAAAACAAACUUUUGAAAUUUAUGAUUUAUAACAAGAGUGUCACAAAAAUUGAGACGAGUGGACUACAUAUUUGACAAAACCAGGCCUAAGAGUAUCAUAUAAUUAUAGAAUGAACAAAGCUACUUCUGAAACAGAUGUGUGAUACAAAAUAACUUCAUGUGGUCCUCUGCUGAAUUUUAUCACACCCACACCCCACUGUACAUUUGCAUAUUGCACAUGUGUCAACCAAUCAUACAAUCUCUUGAAAUUUUAGUGGUGUUUCAUAUAUAUAUUUAUGUUUUAUGUCAAAAUAUUGGGUUCAGUUUCAGUGACAGAUCAAGAAUUUUCAUCUUUUGAGAUUUGAACUUGGAAUCUCAAGGUGGAUUUUGAACCCCCUAAAUCACCUAGUUCUAAUUUUGUGUUCAAGGGAUUCAAAAUCUUUAUAUAUAUAAUAUAAUUUUUUAUUAAGGGAGUUAGAUGAGCACUCUCACCCCUAGAUACGCCCAUAUUCAGUUUUUCUUUUUUGUUUUGGUUUCCCACCCGCUGUCUAGAACCCACAUUGGAGCUUUGACUAAAUUUGAAUCACACUCUGCAGGGCCCAUUCGGGGGUGACGCUCCCAACAGGAUUUUCUCCAUACCUAAGGCUCGAACCUGAAACCUCUAGCUAAGGAUGAAACACUCUCACACCAGUGCACCACAACCCAUGUUGGUCGCCCAUAUUCAGUUUUUCUUUUUGUUUUGGUUUCCCACCCGCUGUCUAGAACCCACAUUGGAGCUUUGACUAAAUUUGAAUCACACUCUGCUAGGGCCCAUUCGGGGGUGACGCUCCCAACAGGAUUUUCUCCAUACCUAAGGCUCGAACCUGAAACCUCUAGCUAAGGAUGAAACACUCUCACACCAGUGCACCACAACCCAUGUUGGUCGCCCAUAUUCAGUUAAAUACAUUGAAACAGGCUCCAUCUAUAUCUGCUUUGUUUAGUUAGACUGUGUUAAGUAGAAGAUACCUUGGAGAAAAAUACCAGGAUUGAAGUACCACUAUAUAUCAAUAAUAAGAGUCGCUUUUGUUAGAGGGUGUUCUAUCCCAGGUUUUAAUAUGAAAUUUUUUUAUGCGAAUCAAGAUUUAAUCGGAUUUCAAAACAAUUCGAACAUUUAAACAAAAAAAAAAAAAAAACUUGCAUGGUAUAUAUCUGUCUGUUAAGAUGGACCAGGAUCACAAUAGGACAUGUUUGGACCCGGGGGCAGAAUCAAGUUAAAAUAGGGUUCAAUUGAUUUCCUAGAAUAUGUACUGCCUUCCAAUGAGACUAUACAAAGCAACAAGAAGGUUGGAAUAUAGCAAAUCUGUCUUUAAAGUAUAGCUCCGCACCUUAUUCAUCGUGUAAUGACAGGGUUUCUAUCGAAAAAUUACAUUGUUUGAACAGGGUAAAAAUGAAUUUGUUUGUUUAUCUUGAACUUUUAAAUCCACACUCUACAUAGGUAACUUUGUUUUUUUAUGACAAGGGAAUUCCAUAGCUAUUAUUUUUUGGGUGCAAAAUAAAACCCCCACUCCUAUGCAAUAGCUCGCAAACCACAGAGGUAACCUGCACUGGGCGACGAGCUCGACCCAGAAGGAAAGCCUCUUCCUUUCGCUGGCAAGAAAUUUCAAACUUGAGACCUUCAACAUGAAAGUUUCAACCCAAACCACUGGAUCAUUCGGGUUAAAUGUCAAAACAAGUUCAAAAGUAGUGACAAGGAAAAGUUUCACGUAUGAUAAGCAUUUUUACUUUCAAUUAUAAGAUUAUGAGUUCAAAUCGCCAUGAAAACAAAAAGGACGAAAGCUUCCGAGAAAGAGGUAAAAAAAGUAAUUGCAUUAGACCAUAGGUAAAAGUCACAAAUAUGAUAUUCUAUGAGUUUUUCAAAAUCACGUGUAUAAUUUAUUUAUUUUCAGUUUCGUUAGGACCUACUGCAACUCAUCUCAAACUUUAUGUCACAUGAGAAUUCAUUUUUUGAGAAACAAAAGGAGCUUUUAAUUCUUGAUAUUUGUGAGGUGGAAUAAACAAAUGAAAGUAGACAAAUUAAAUAUAGUACAUUAAACUCGUGAUUAUUUGAUAUACUUUUCGUCCACUUUUACUUAUUCAUUUAUAUUAAAAUUCAAUAUUUAUUUUUAUUUAAUCAAUUAAAAAAUUAAAAUAGAUAAUAUUUUAUACAUUUCAUAUGUAUAAGAAUGAUAGAUAAGAAAUAUGAGAAUAUUGAGAUGAUGUGUUCAAGUUCAUGACGGCUCUGUACGUAAAAUGUGUUUCCUUAGUAAGUGAUUCAAUUCUUCUUUAUUUUUGGUUUAAGAAAGUGAUUCAAUUAUGAUAUAAAAUGUACUUUUUUGUUUUAAUUUAUUUUUCAAAUCAUAUUUUUAAAGUUUCCACAUCACAUAUUUAAAAGAGGAAAUUUCGCAAAUAGCCACUAAAAAUAACUUAAUUAGACUUCAUAGCUAUGGUUUGUUAAUUAUUAUCCGUAGCUACAUGUUAGAGGGAGGAGAGACGCGAGCGAAAUUAGGAGAGGGAGGAGAGAGGCAAGCAAGAGAGGGCAAAGAGUGGAGAGAGGUGAAUUAUAUUUGUAUAUCUGUCAGAUAAUUGUGUGUAUAUAUAUAUAUAACUGGUAUACAUAUGUAUUUGUAUGUCUGACAAGCGAAAUUGGGAGAUGGAGGAGAGAGGCGAGCGAGAGAGGGCAGAGAGAAGAGAGACGCACGUAAUUAUAGCUAAAAAGAGGCUGCAAGUGGUAAUUAAUUCAAACUAAGCUAUGUUAGCUAAUUAACUAGUAUAUGUUUGCUUAUCCGCGUAAUUUCUCCUAUUUAAAACCAUAUAAUUAAGAGACAUUUUAAUACAUUUGACAUAUCAAUCAUUUUAGACCAUUAGAUUUUAAAAAAUUAUUCACUUACUUAAAUUAGGUUGUAGACAUUGAAAUUUAUGAGACUUUACCCGACGUGUUCAAUUAUAAUUGGGAUUCUUGAAAACUAGUCUAUCAUAAACCCUAGUUCAUGUCUAUAUAAACAAUAUUAUAUUAUAUAUAUACCUAUAUAUGCCUAUAGGCUAUAUCUUAUAUAAAGGAUAUUAUAUAUCUUUAAAGAGUAUCUCGAAUAUCUCAUAAACUCUUGCGAUAUUGAUAAAGAGAUCAAGAUAUGUCAGACUCUUCUUGAUAAUCAAAUACUUCAAGAAGAUCCACAAAUCUUUUCAUAGAGAUCAAAUUCAAAUCAUUAUAGUUUGAGAGAUACGUCACUAACGGAAAAAUCUUAGUAAAGAAUCAAUGAAGGAAUAAAAUUGUACUCAUAUCGUUUUAUCAAUAAUAUUCUUAUUUCUUCAGAUUUUAUUCGUGGUUAACUUAUAUUUCAUAUAUAUAUAUAUAUAUAUUAGUUUUCUUUUGGUAUAAUAAUUGACUUAAGAAACAAACAAAAUGAGGGAAAGUGCGAAGAACCUGUGUUGUUCAAACUUAUUCGUGAAUAUGACCUUUGCCCCUUUGCCAACCUGCCCAACUCAACUUCUCUUUGUCUCUCCUUUCUCUCUUCACUUAUUCCUAAAUUACCCCCCAUUUCAACUUCUUCCUUUUUUUUGUUACUUUUUGAAUUUAAAUUAUAUAUAAUAACACUCUCAAUAUUUUUUAUAUUAUCCAUAUUGUUAACAUGAUAUAACAAAUGUUCCUUCCGUUUCAGUUUAUAUGAUGUAGUUUGAUUGAGUAAAGUUUAAUAUAUAAAAAAAGACUUAAAUUCUGGUUUAAAAUAAGUCAUAGAUUUGUGUGGAUAAAAUAUUUCAUUAAGGGUAAAAUGAACAUUUUAUAGUUAAACUGUUAUUGAAUAUAGAAAUGUGUUAUUCUUUUUUAGACUGAUCAAACGAAAAGUGUCAUAUGAUUUAUUGGAACAGGAAAAAAAAGUAAUUUUACCUUAUUUUUAUGAUACGUGUAGCGUUUUGACGAUAUAAAAAGUAUAAAACAUUACACUUGCGAUAAAACACAAAGUGUUACAUUAUCAUUUAUUAGGACUGAAAUAAUUAAUUAAGUGUCAUUAGAUGGAAAAAUUAAAGUUAUUGAAAGAUAUUUGGAGGAAAAAUGAAAGUUACAAAGGAUUUAAAUGACAAACAAAAGUUACUAAAGUAUGCCUUUCUCUAAAAAGUUAAAUAGCUCUUGCCUACGUACAUUACAUACAUUAGCUUACAAAAAAUAUUUAUUUGGUCCCAUGUUAAUGUCCCCAUCAAAUAGCCAUCAGUACUCUUAGAUGGUAAAUAUAAUAUUCCUUCUAGUUCGAUAUAAAUAAAUCAUUCAAAAUUUAAAAAUGUAUUAACUUAUUUUUCUAGAAUUAUUUUUUAUUUAAUAUGAUUUCAACUAUUUUUAAAUCUCAUUAAGAAGAAUUUGGAAAGACUUAAAAGAGUAAUAAAGACAAGUUGUCUUUUAAUUAUUGUCUUUAAAUAUGGAAUGUAUCAUAUCUUAAUAAUUCUUUUAUAUUGAUUAGAGGAAAAUAGUAUUUCCAACCAAGCACCGUUAGAAAGUACUUUUUCAUCUUUGGCAAAAAUAAAUAAAAUAAAACUACUUAAUUAUAAAACGUUAGUAGUAAUUUCAAAAAAUUCAAAAACAAAUUUCGUUGAUUACAUUUUUAAAACUAAUUUAUUGUUAUAUAUCCUUGUAAUUACAUAAGGGCAGUCAUGGAAGUUCCUAUCAUUUUUGUCAGGUUAUGCUCUUCCCAUAUCUACAAUAAUUUAUGUCCUCUUCUUGUUAUUAUUAAUUGUUUCAAAUUAUAUAUCCCCUCCUAACUCCAAAAAAUAUCAGUGCAUAUGUUCUCUUCAUUCUUUUUUAUCUCCAUAUCCUAAACCCAUAAAAGAAAAAAAAACUAGCACAAAAAAAACAAUUAAUGGCUAGUCAUCAUGAACUUGAACUAUCAAAUAAUUAUAGUGAUCCAAGUGAUGAUGAUAUGGACGAGGACGAGGACGAGGAAGAGCAAGAUAACAUAGAAGAUGAGGAACAAGAAGAUGAUAAUUCUAAUGACUACAACAUUUGUAGUGGUCGUAGUCGAAGAGGAGGACUAACAGACUUUUUCUCGUGGAAAGUCAUAGACCCUAGAGCGCCUUGGGUUCAAGAAUGGAAUAGAGUAUUUUUAUUAGUAUGCGCCACGGGGCUAUUUGUGGAUCCUCUCUUUUUCUACGCCCUUUCUAUAAGCGAGACUUGCAUGUGCCUUUUUAUCGACGGUUGGUUCGCGGUAACGGUCACGGUUCUUCGAUGCAUGACCGAUGCGAUGCAUUUAUGGAACAUGUGGAUACAAUUCAAGAUGCAUAAAUUACGUCCUUACGAUGGAAAAAUGGAUGAAAAUCUAAUUAGUAGUAGUAGUCGAGGUUCUCGACUACAUCAAGACCAAAGUUUUCGAUGUUUUGUGGCCUUACGAUACUUGAAAUCCAAGAAGGGUUUCUUUUUCGAUCUCUUUGUCAUCCUUCCUUUACCUCAGGUGCGUUUGUUGAAUAUAUUUUAUCUAAUAGGUUAAAUUUUUAGAUGUUGAUCGAUGAAGUAUAAGCUAAACACAAAGAAUCAAAGAAAAUAUAAACCUAGAUGCUUCUUUUGUGGUAUAUGUACAAUAUAUUGUGAUGAUAAAUGGUGAUGCAUGUUUUGUAUUUUAGUAUGAAAUAUUGUUAGUAAAAGAAGACAAAGGCAUGCAUGUCAUGGCCGUUGGUUCUUAUGCACGC
RNAcentral lists this long non-coding RNA (18233 nucleotides) under Solanum tuberosum (potato). RNAcentral's name for it is "long non-coding RNA (STUB_LNC011224)". The record is from RNAcentral. Lineage: Eukaryota; Viridiplantae; Streptophyta; Magnoliopsida; Solanales; Solanaceae.